Molecule: ribosomal RNA, 820 nt
Filed under: uncultured Clostridium sp.
Lineage: Bacteria; Bacillati; Bacillota; Clostridia; Eubacteriales; Clostridiaceae
Description: bacterial SSU rRNA
Rfam family: Bacterial small subunit ribosomal RNA
Source: RNAcentral
AAUGGGCGUGCUACCAUGCAAGUCGAACGGAGAAUCAGCAAUGAUUCUUAGUGGCGAACGGGUGAGUAACGCGUAGACAACCUGCCUUCUAGAUGGGGACAACACUGCGAAAGUGGUGCUAAUACCGAAUGUUGUAUUAAGCCUGCAUGGGCUUGAUACUAAAGGUGGCCUCUAUUUAUAAGCUAUCACUAGAAGAUGGGUCUGCGUCUGAUUAGCUAGUUGGUGAGGUAAUGGCUCACCAAGGCGAUGAUCAGUAGCCGGUCUGAGAGGAUGAACGGCCACACUGGGACUGAGACACGGCCCAGACUCCUACGGGAGGCAGCAGUGGGGAAUCUUCCGCAAUGGACGAAAGUCUGACGGAGCAACGCCGCGUGAGUGAAGAAGGUUUUCGGAUCGUAAAGCUCUGUCUUUGAGGACGAAUGUGUCUAAUGUGAAUAAUGUUAGAUAAUGACGGUACUCGAGGAGGAAGCCACGGCUAACUACGUGCCAGCAGCCGCGGUAAUACGUAGGUGGCAAGCGUUGUCCGGAAUUAUUGGGCGUAAAGCGCGCGCAGGCGGGAUAUUAAGUCUGUUUUAAAAGUUCGGGGCUCAACCCCGUGAUGGAAUGGAAACUAAUAUUCUUGAGUGCAGGAGAGGAAAGUGGAAUUCCCAGUGUAGCGGUGAAAUGCGUAGAUAUUGGGAGGAACACCAGUGGCGAAGGCGACUUUCUGGACUGUGUCUGACGCUGAGGCGCGAAAGCCAGGGGAGUGAACGGGAUUAGAUACCCCGGUAAUCCUGGCCGUAAACGAUGGGUACUAAGGUGUAGGAGGUAUCGACCCCUU